Chamaesiphon minutus PCC 6605 is the source of this 82-nucleotide transfer RNA. It matches the Rfam family "tRNA". Rfam says of the family: Transfer RNA (tRNA) molecules are approximately 80 nucleotides in length. Their secondary structure includes four short double-helical elements and three loops (D, anti-codon, and T loops). The record is from Rfam. NCBI's taxonomy places the organism in Bacteria, Bacillati, Cyanobacteriota, Cyanophyceae, Gomontiellales, Chamaesiphonaceae.
GCGGAUAUGGCGGAAUUGGUAGACGCGCCAGAUUUAGGUUCUGGUUUCGCAAGAAGUGAAGGUUCGAUUCCUUUUAUCCGCA